AUAGUCGGGCCGGGUCGGUUACCGGCCCAAAUCGAACACCAACCGAAAUAAUCAGAAAUCUCAUUUCUGGAACCGAACACCACAUUCUUGUUGGCUUCGGCCGAAUUUUCGGUUGGGUCAAAUUCUUGAAUCGGGGCAGGUCGGUUUCGGUGGAGACAGAGACGUCGGAGACUCGGAGAGAGAUAGAGAGAUCGAGAGGUCAACCUUUCAUUUGGAGGUUGAGAGAGAAUGAGAGAUAGGCUUCUGCAACCAUAAUCAUAAACCACCGAUCCAAACCAUAGUUCCAAACCAUAAUCAUAUUCCAUAAUCAUAGAUGUGCAAAGAGAUAGUCUCAAUUUUAAACUCAGUAUCUAUACUCAAGUUUUAUUUCGUCUCUGUGACUCUUCCAUUAUGUUUUUUUGAUUCCAGAUCUGCGAGAUUCAAGCAGAGUAGCUUGUCGUGUUAAUUGUUUUGAAUGUUAAUUUCUUUCACUUCAAUUUCUUUUGGUUAUAUCAUUCAGCAUCAAAUUGUAAUGCACACAAGAUGUUCGACAAAAUGAUUCUAAAUUGCUUUCUUUUGAGCUUAAGGCUUUGGGUUUAACCUACAGCAGGUUUUGGUCUUCUUUUCUUAUGCUACUAGUGAUUGAUCUUAAUUACUAGUUUCAUGGGAAUGAGUGAGACUGGAGUGUUCAGGUGGUGACUUUCACCAGGGAGGUGCAUAUUGCGUGUAAAAAUGCGGUUGAAAUGGGGUUUUUUUCCGGUUAUCAGAUGGAGACCAAAGAGGCUAUUUCCGGUUAUCAGAGGUAGUAUGAAAAGUACCAACUUGUGACAAUAGUCUAAAGUGUGAAGUAGGGUCUUAAGUGUUUAGAUCCGGUUGUUUGUAUCGUAAAGGUUUCAGUAAUAUCUUCUCAUCCCAAGGGAUAAGUGCAAACAGGAAUUUCAUAGUUUUUGGUUUGUUUGUAUAAUUACCAUAUGGCUUCAAGUUGAGCAGAGAACGCAUUGUUUUGUUUCUUUCAAGUUACCCAGAGCACAUUUCUUUCAUGCUCUACUUUCCAUCUCCAAGGAAAAUUACCAUACUACAAUGCAUGACAUAUUUUUUUCACAUUGCAUUUGUGGAUUGCAAAAUGAACGAUGAAAAGAAUAAGUAGCUCACAAAUGCUUUAUCAAUGGCUAGAACUUCAACUUCACGCACAAUACAACAUCAGAUUCCUGUUUUCUGCAACUCUCCUUGAAAGACAAAUUGCAAUUUCUACACUAAAAACACAAUGGAACCUUAUUGUCAGCCUAAAUAUCUUAAACCCUUAACAUGAGCUCACUUUAUUAUAUUAUACAACGACAUUGCAUAUACUUUUGAAAGGAAUAAAAUUGUUUUAACAAAUAGUGAUUAAACUAAGACUCCCGCAAAAACGAAUUCAGGAAGGGAGUGGGGUCUUCCAGCAAUCAAGAUACAUACGCAAACUACCACCUUAUGACCUCCAGCAGUCUCCUCCUUUGCCUGCAUAAGUCCUCUGCUUCUUUAUCAACCUGGAAUAUGUAACCAUUUGAAAAACCAAUGAGCAAUGAAAUGCUUGCAAUAUAUUUACGGUUUCCGUACCAAUUUCUUGACUGAGACUUGAGGAAGCUAUUCUUAAGAUAGUCUCAUAGCACGAUUAUGAUGUGCACUUAGCAGCCGUAUAAUGAGGUCCACAACCUUCCCAGCAAGGAUAAAUGCUAAACAACCAUCAAUUCAGGCUACAGCAAUUCAAUUCAUCAACCCAUCAAUGAGACUUUGACAAAGAACAGAGCAAAAAGGACACACUUUCUUGAAAGCCCCCUUGCCUAAAACCUAUAUGUACCGCGAAGUGCAAAUCACCAAAAACACAAUAUCAGCACAAAUCAACUCAUAUUCAUCAACCCAAAUCAGUACUUGAUGAAAAGAAUAAGACUUGCAAGAGUAGAACAGCUAAAUCAAAUAAAAAACCGAAACCAUAGUGUACAAUCGAAAUUACGCAAUAAUUGAAUUAAAGCCAGAGAUUAAGUUCGAACAACUGAACCGUCCGUAACGACCAGUGAGAUCAACCUUAGUGAACUCAGCUUCGGCAUCGUCCGCUUCCUGGUCCAACGGCAAAUCUUGAGGCAUUGAUUCUCGCAAAGCCUUUUGCUUUCGAUCAAAUCAGACUACGAUCGGAUUCGGAUCGAAUCCAAAACCCUCAAAUUCAAUUUGGGUGGGAACCAAUUGUGAUUUGUGAAGAGGACCCGCUAAAAAUAGAAACGCAGCAGAGUCGGCGAUGUGGUUUGGAUUUCUGGGUUUUGAGAGAAAGCGAGGAAGACGGUCGAGAUGCCCAGCGCCCAGACCACCUGCUGCCUCGGGUAAAUUUGGCUUUUACUGCACUACAAUUUUUUUGGUCUUCGUUUGACUAUGGUUAGUGAACAAACGACCAACCAACGUUGGUAUUCAACUGUUAGCACACGUGACUGGCACCCUGCUGGUGCAAGUGACCCGACGGUGCAUGGAAUCCUCUCCGGUAAAUAUAUAUUAAUGUUAACGGUGUUGGAGAAUGUGCAGCCAAGGCCAACAGUUAAAACCAAAUGCCCGGGAAAGUUGGUGGAUUUGGCUCUUGAGAAAGUUAGUUGUGUCGAAUCUUCCAAGCUAUAUUAUAACAAGAAAAGAUAAACUUUUUCUGACCCGUCGUUUUGGUUUUGACUGGGGAGAGUUGAGAGAACUUGAAAGCAAAAUAGACGGUUUUACCAGAAAGAAUGGGCGUUUGUCUAUGGUGUCUGUGACUCAUUUUAUUUUUAAUUUAUUUAAAAUUACAAUUUAAUUGAAUUAAAUUCUCUACAUUGACAACAACUUUACCACAUUCAUUUUACUUUGGGAUUGGGUAUCUGGGUUUUUGUUUCUUUGGUGGUUUGCAAAUUUGUUUAUUGGGUUUUGAUAUUGAUAAUUUCUGCACUGACAUUUUCGAUUUUGUGUGGAUUACAGAAAGGUUGGGACUGGGUUUCUUUGUUUGUAUGUGCAAACUCACUCUAAAUCUUUGUAUGUCUCUGAUUAGGGGUUUGGGUGACGCAGAGGUUGCUGAAAUUGUUAUUAAUUUUGGAGCUUCUGGAUUUUCGAUAAGGAUGAACGCAGUAUCGACACAAGUUGUCUGAGUGCAGCUUUUAAUGGGUGAGGUUUUUGGUGCUAGGCUUCUUUUGGAUUUCUUGCUUUUGGUCCAAGAAGCUUGCUGAUCAGUUUAAUGUAAUUUUCAGUCAGCAAUUAAGACUAUAGUUUGAAAGUCUUAUAAAAAAUUAUUAGUUCUAGGUUUGUUUACAAAUGGAAGCUUAAUAGACAUAGGUUUGUUUAAAAAAAUAUUGAAAGCAUCUUAAUAAAACUAAAUUAAAUAACCAUUUCAGAUUUGUUUAAUUCUUUGUACUAUCAGGAAGAUACUCAUCAGUUUUCUGUUUUGGAGAGAUUAUUCAGAGCACCGCCGUGCACUUGCACCAACAUAAAUGAAUGGCUUACAUUCCAGAAGUUCCGGCCAGCAGACUUUGGCUGAGCUUAAAGGACUACAUCAAUUGAUAAGAAAUUUGCAAGAUUUUUAGUAUUUUUACGGGGAUUUUCUUUUUUGAAUCGACCCCUACAAUUUCUUAAUCACCAGCCUAAGCCCUCACUUAUUUACCAUAGUACUUAACUUGGUUCAGUUCUAUGACCAAUUGGUUGAGACACCAGAUUUUGGAAAAUGUAAAACAAUACCAUUUGUAGGUAUGUAAUGUAUUUAA
Long non-coding RNA from Rosa rugosa (rugosa rose), 3716 nucleotides. RefSeq lists it as uncharacterized. NCBI's taxonomy places the organism in Eukaryota, Viridiplantae, Streptophyta, Magnoliopsida, Rosales, Rosaceae. The transcript is spliced from 4 exons. The record is from RefSeq and is a predicted model, not a curated record.